This 1361-nucleotide ribosomal RNA is filed under the name Escherichia coli. RNAcentral describes it as "partial 23S ribosomal RNA". It matches the Rfam family "Bacterial large subunit ribosomal RNA", at positions 296 to 1667 of the family's 2925-position model. Lineage: Bacteria; Pseudomonadati; Pseudomonadota; Gammaproteobacteria; Enterobacterales; Enterobacteriaceae. The record is from RNAcentral.
AGCCCAGAGCCUGAAUCAGUGUGUGUGUUAGUGGAAGCGUCUGGAAAGGCGCGCGAUACAGGGUGACAGCCCCGUACACAAAAAUGCACAUGCUGUGAGCUCGAUGAGUAGGGCGGGACACGUGGUAUCCUGUCUGAAUAUGGGGGGACCAUCCUCCAAGGCUAAAUACUCCUGACUGACCGAUAGUGAACCAGUACCGUGAGGGAAAGGCGAAAAGAACCCCGGCGAGGGGAGUGAAAAAGAACCUGAAACCGUGUACGUACAAGCAGUGGGAGCACAGAGCAAUCUGUGUGACUGCGUACCUUUUGUAUAAUGGGUCAGCGACUUAUAUUCUGUAGCAAGGUUAACCGAAUAGGGGAGCCGAAGGGAAACCGAGUCUUAACUGGGCGUUAAGUUGCAGGGUAUAGACCCGAAACCCGGUGAUCUAGCCAUGGGCAGGUUGAAGGUUGGGUAACACUAACUGGAGGACCGAACCGACUAAUGUUGAAAAAUUAGCGGAUGACUUGUGGCUGGGGGUGAAAGGCCAAUCAAACCGGGAGAUAGCUGGUUCUCCCCGAAAGCUAUUUAGGUAGCGCCUCGUGAAUUCAUCUCCGGGGGUAGAGCACUGUUUCGGCAAGGGGGUCAUCCCGACUUACCAACCCGAUGCAAACUGCGAAUACCGGAGAAUGUUAUCACGGGAGACACACGGCGGGUGCUAACGUCCGUCGUGAAGAGGGAAACAACCCAGACCGCCAGCUAAGGUCCCAAAGUCAUGGUUAAGUGGGAAACGAUGUGGGAAGGCCCAGACAGCCAGGAUGUUGGCUUAGAAGCAGCCAUCAUUUAAAGAAAGCGUAAUAGCUCACUGGUCGAGUCGGCCUGCGCGGAAGAUGUAACGGGGCUAAACCAUGCACCGAAGCUGCGGCAGCGACACUGUGUGUUGUUGGGUAGGGGAGCGUUCUGUAAGCCUGUGAAGGUGUGCUGUGAGGCAUGCUGGAGGUAUCAGAAGUGCGAAUGCUGACAUAAGUAACGAUAAAGCGGGUGAAAAGCCCGCUCGCCGGAAGACCAAGGGUUCCUGUCCAACGUUAAUCGGGGCAGGGUGAGUCGACCCCUAAGGCGAGGCCGAAAGGCGUAGUCGAUGGGAAACAGGUUAAUAUUCCUGUACUUGGUGUUACUGCGAAGGGGGGACGGAGAAGGCUAUGUUGGCCGGGCGACGGUUGUCCCGGUUUAAGCGUGUAGGCUGGUUUUCCAGGCAAAUCCGGAAAAUCAAGGCUGAGGCGUGAUGACGAGGCACUACGGUGCUGAAGCAACAAAUGCCCUGCUUCCAGGAAAAGCCUCUAAGCAUCAGGUAACAUCAAAUCGUACCCCAAACCGACACAGGUGGU